CCAGCAGGUCAGGCGCCCCAGGCCGGAUCGCGGCGCCAUUGCGGCGGCCCCUGCGGAGCGAGUGCGGCCGCGCCUCCCGUCGGGGUAGCCCCGAAUGUGACAUGACAUCUCUGUUGCUUGGUGAGUAAUCCGACGUGUAAACAGGACCUCGAGAAUCGAGCCCCAUUUAAAGAAGACUUACUUAGAAACACUGGAGAGGCCACCAUGGAGUGCAAGGCCGAGGGAAAAGAAAUAUACCAACACAGCUUGAAUUUCCUGAAUAAAAUUAAGAGCAUGAAAGAACUAGCAGAGAUGAUUGAUGUUGUACUCAUCGCAGAAGGGGAGAGAUUCCCUUGCCACAGGCUGGCCCUGGCUGCAUUUAGUCCUUAUUUCAAAGCCAUGUUCACCUGUGGACUACUUGAGUGCACUCAGAGGGAAGUCGUACUUUAUGACAUCACAGCGGAAAGCGUGUCGGUGAUAUUAAAUUAUAUGUACCAGGCGGCUUUGGAGAUCAGUGACGCCAAUGUUCAGACGGUGGCCACGGCCGCCUAUUUCAUGCAGAUGGACGAAGUCUUCGGUGUGUGUCAGAAGUACAUGAUGGACCAUAUGGAUGCCUCGAACUGUCUGGGCAUCUAUCAUUUUGCCAAGCAGAUUGGAGCUGAGGAUUUAGCUGAUCAGUCGUUGAAGUAUGUAUAUCAGCACUUUGCUGAGGUGAGCUUACAUGAAGAGAUACUAGAAAUUGAAGUGCACCAAUUCCUGACGCUUAUUAAAUCGGAUGACCUGAACAUAUCCAGAGAGGAGAGCAUUCUAGACCUAGUUCUGAGAUGGGUAAAUCAUAACCGAGAACUGCGCACAGGGCAUCUCGUGGAACUUCUGAAGCAAGUUAGGUUGCACCUGGUAAGUCCUUCUUUUUUGAGACAGGCCCUGAAAAGGAACACCAUGCUGCUGUGUGAUGCAAAUUGCAUCGACAUCAUUCAAAACGCAUUCAAAGCCAUCAAGACCCCUCAACAGCACCCUCUCAAUCUUCGCUAUGGCAUGGAGACCACCAGUCUUCUGCUGUGCAUUGGCAACAGUUCUUCGGGAAUCAGGUCGAGACAUAGGAACUACGGAGAUGCCAGUUUCUGCUACGAUCCCGCAACGCGCAAGACCUAUUUCAUCUCGUCUCCCAAGCAUGGGGAGGGUUUAGGCACUGUGUGUACCGGUGUUGUCAUGGAAAACAACACUCUCAUUGUGGCUGGAGAAGCAAGUGUCUCUAAACUCUCCAGACAGAAGAGCCAGAAUGUUGAAAUCUACAGGUAUCAUGAUAGAGGAAACCGGUUCUGGGAAAAGUUAUGCACAACAGAAUUUCGAGAGCUCUACGCCCUGGGCACCGUCCAUAACGACCUCUAUGUUAUAGGAGGGCAGAUGAAACUGAAAAACCAGUAUCUGAUUACCAACUGCGUCGAUAAGUACUCGGUAGAACGGGACACCUGGAAAAGGGUGUCCCCCCUUCCACUGCCGUUGGCGUGUCAUGCUGUGGUAACGGUGAAUAAUAAACUUUACGUGAUUGGAGGCCGGACCCCUCAGAUGGAUCUUCCUGACGAAGAACCUGAUCGAUUAAGCAACAAGCUGUGGAAGUACGACCCCAGCCGAGAUCAGUGGACAGAGCAGGCACCCAUGAAGUACUCAAAGUACCGAUUCAGCACAGCUGUGGUCGACAGUGAGCUUUAUGUUCUGGGUAAGAAGGAGCUGAAAGAGUGUGGAAUCGGCUGCAUAGGUCGAGACAAGGGUCAGGUUCGGAAGUGCCUUGACGCGGUGGAGAUCUACAACCCGGACGGGGACUUCUGGAGAGAGGGCCCCCCCAUGCCCAGCCCCCUGCUCUCACUUCGCACCAAUUCUACCAAUGCAGGAGCCGUGGACGGGAAGCUGUACAUCUGCGGGGGCUUCCACGGAGCAGAUCGCCACGAAGUUAUCUCCAAAGAGAUAUUGGAGCUGGACCCCUGGGAGAACCAGUGGAAUGUCGUAGCCGUCAACGCGCUCAUGCACGACAGCUACGACGUCUGCCUGGUGGCGAGGAAGAAUCCCCGUGACCUCAUCCCCCCACCUUCACAGUCAGUGGAGGAGGGUGGGGGGCACUGAGGUCUGUGUCUCUGUGGGACCCCCAAGGCGUCUGCCAAGGCACUAGGGAUGGCGAGCCCACGGCAUCUGUGGGCCGGGUGCACUGCAUGCGUCACAACCCUGUGCGGAGCGGCAUGCGCCGGGCGCCGCAGGGCGUGUGUGCAGAGCCCACCCUCUGGUACCGAGGCUUUGCAGUGUCUUCCCCAAGCUUGGAGGUCUAGUUUCACUUGCUCACAGGAGGCCACGUGCAGAGGCCUCACACUGGGUACCUCAGGUCAGAGAUCCUCCUGGGAAAUGGCCGCCUGCAGAGACGCCGUGAGAGCACAGAUCCCGCGAUCCGCGCCAGCCCCGCGAGAACUACAGGAACCUAUAAAGCAGCGCCGCACCGGCCUUUCAGGGAGAGCGUGUCCCGGGGUGUGAGCCGCCCCCCUCCAUUCUUUUGUCAAAGGAUAAAGCUUUCCUUUGCUUCUGAACUGAACUCGCUCUCAUUCUGCCGGAUCCCAGGACUCGGGGCAGAAGGACCCUUGCCGGGGACCAACUCGAAAGGGUCGGUAACACUGACAGUGCACGGGCUUCUGGGCUGGCAUCAGUUGGCAGCGACACCAUCCUGCAGGAAACCACAGGCCCCAAGCACAAGGAGGCGGCUGCGGGGAAGGGUGGGAACAUUCUAGAAGGUCCAGGAGCUGUUCCUGCAGGCCAAGUCAGCCUGGAUCCAAAGAUGCCUACACAUAGCCCUCUUUCAACCCAGCUGAGAACGUGGGCCUUUCAGGUUUAAAAUAUCAUUUGCCAAAUACUGUGAAUCAAAAUAGAUACAGCCCAUCUUCAGAAACACGGCAAUACACACUGAGAGCUUUAAAAAUGUUUAUUGCUUUUGACCCACCCAGAAAUUCCCACUUUUGGAAUUCUAUCCCAAGUAAAUAAUAGGAUAUGUAGGCAACAUUUUGGUCAUGAAGAUACUCGUCCCAGUGUGAUUUAUAAUAGGAAAAAAACAGUGAACAAUCUAAACCCCUAACUUCAG
Molecule: non-coding RNA, 3094 nt
Organism: Kogia breviceps (pygmy sperm whale)
Lineage: Eukaryota; Metazoa; Chordata; Mammalia; Artiodactyla; Physeteridae
Source: RefSeq, a predicted model, not a curated record